AACUUUCAACAACGGAUCUCUUGGUUCUGGCAUCGAUGAAGAACGCAGCGAAAUGCGAUAAGUAGUGUGAAUUGCAGAAUUCAGUGAAUCAUCGAAAUCUUUGAACGCACAUUGCGCCCUUUGGUAUUCCAAAGGGCAUGCCUGUUCGAGCGUCAUUUG
RNAcentral lists this ribosomal RNA (159 nucleotides) under Pyrenophora teres. RNAcentral's name for it is "small subunit 5.8S ribosomal RNA". It matches the Rfam family "5.8S ribosomal RNA". Rfam says of the family: 5.8S ribosomal RNA (5.8S rRNA) is a component of the large subunit of the eukaryotic ribosome. It is transcribed by RNA polymerase I as part of the 45S precursor that also contains 18S and 28S rRNA. The record is from RNAcentral. Lineage: Eukaryota; Fungi; Ascomycota; Dothideomycetes; Pleosporales; Pleosporaceae.